UAUUAUGAGAGUUUGAUCCUGGCUCAGGACGAACGCUGGCGGCGUGCCUAAUACAUGCAAGUCGUACGCUUUUUCUUUCACCGGAGCUUGCUCCACCGAAAGAAAAGGAGUGGCGAACGGGUGAGUAACACGUGGGUAACCUGCCCAUCAGAAGGGGAUAACACUUGGAAACAGGUGCUAAUACCGUAUAACAAUCGAAACCGCAUGGUUUUGAUUUGAAAGGCGCUUUCGGGUGUCGCUGAUGGAUGGACCCGCGGUGCAUUAGCUAGUUGGUGAGGUAACGGCUCACCAAGGCCACGAUGCAUAGCCGACCUGAGAGGGUGAUCGGCCACAUUGGGACUGAGACACGGCCCAAACUCCUACGGGAGGCAGCAGUAGGGAAUCUUCGGCAAUGGACGAAAGUCUGACCGAGCAACGCCGCGUGAGUGAAGAAGGUUUUCGGAUCGUAAAACUCUGUUGUUAGAGAAGAACAAGGAUGAGAGUAACUGUUCAUCCCUUGACGGUAUCUAACCAGAAAGCCACGGCUAACUACGUGCCAGCAGCCGCGGUAAUACGUAGGUGGCAAGCGUUGUCCGGAUUUAUUGGGCGUAAAGCGAGCGCAGGCGGUUUCUUAAGUCUGAUGUGAAAGCCCCCGGCUCAACCGGGGAGGGUCAUUGGAAACUGGGAGACUUGAGUGCAGAAGAGGAGAGUGGAAUUCCAUGUGUAGCGGUGAAAUGCGUAGAUAUAUGGAGGAACACCAGUGGCGAAGGCGACUCUCUGGUCUGUAACUGACGCUGAGGCUCGAAAGCGUGGGGAGCAAACAGGAUUAGAUACCCUGGUAGUCCACGCCGUAAACGAUGAGUGCUAAGUGUUGGAGGGUUUCCGCCCUUCAGUGCUGCAGCUAACGCAUUAAGCACUCCGCCUGGGGAGUACGACCGCAAGGUUGAAACUCAAAGGAAUUGACGGGGGCCCGCACAAGCGGUGGAGCAUGUGGUUUAAUUCGAAGCAACGCGAAGAACCUUACCAGGUCUUGACAUCCUUUGAC
Molecule: ribosomal RNA, 1024 nt
Filed under: Enterococcus thailandicus
Lineage: Bacteria; Bacillati; Bacillota; Bacilli; Lactobacillales; Enterococcaceae
Description: bacterial SSU rRNA
Rfam family: Bacterial small subunit ribosomal RNA
Source: RNAcentral